RNAcentral lists this ribosomal RNA (270 nucleotides) under uncultured archaeon. RNAcentral's name for it is "partial 16S ribosomal RNA". It matches the Rfam family "Archaeal small subunit ribosomal RNA", at positions 477 to 747 of the family's 1478-position model. The record is from RNAcentral.
CUGCAGCUCAAGUGGUGAUCAUUAUUAUUGGGCCUAAAACGUCCGUAGCCGGUUUAGUAAAUGCCUGGUUAAAUCGUGUAGCUUAACUAUACAACUUCCGGGUAGACUACUAAACUUGAGACCGGGAGAGGCUAGAGGUACUCCUGGGGUAGAGGUGAAAUUCUGUAAUCCUAGGGGGACCACCAGUGGCGAAGGCGUCUGACUAGAACGGGUCUGACGGUGAGGGACGAAGCCCUGGGGCGCAAACCGGAUUAGAUACCCGAGUAGUCC